Molecule: RNA transcript, 1967 nt
Organism: Musa acuminata AAA Group (dessert banana)
Lineage: Eukaryota; Viridiplantae; Streptophyta; Magnoliopsida; Zingiberales; Musaceae
Gene name: putative glucose-6-phosphate 1-epimerase
Exons: 11
Source: RefSeq, a predicted model, not a curated record
AAAGAAGAGGACACGUCAUCGCUUCAACUCGCCUCCUCCCUCGGUCUCGUCUCUUCCCAUAAAUGCAGAGAGCGAGCUUUCCGCAGCCUGUCAAUGCCGCAUUAAUUUCUUAAGCUUGUUUGCUUUGCUUUGCUUCGCUUCUCGGAAAGGAAGCCUUCGCCAAAUCUUCUUACUGAUUCGAGGGUUUGGAGGAGGAGGCGAGACGAGAGAGAGAAAACGGAAGCAUGCGAGGGAGACCGCUUUAGGGAAUAGGAGGGUUAUGGGAUUUUGGCGAUGUCGGACGAGAAGCCGCCGGUAGAGAUCUGCAAGGGCGUGAAUGACCUCGACAAGGUGGUGCUUAGGGGCCUCCGCGGGAGCUCGGCAGAGGUGUAUUUAUAUGGGUGUCAUGUAACAUCUUGGAAAAAUAACCAUGAUGAGGAGUUGCUUUUUCUCAGCAGUAAGGCUAUAUUCAAGCCUCCAAAAGCUAUACGUGGGGGCAUCCCGAUAUGCUUUCCACAAUUUGGAAGCCAUGGAAAUCUUGAACAGCAUGGGUUUGUAAGGAAUAGGUUUUGGAGUAUUGAUAGUAGCCCUCCUCCUCCUACAGUUAGCUGCAAUAAAGCUUUCGUCGAUUUGAUCUUUAAACCAAGUGAAGAAGAUCUCAAGAUAUGGCCUUAUAGUUAUGAAUUUCGUCUAAGGAUUACCAUAGGACCUGGAGGAGAUCUAAUGCUGACAUCACGGAUAAAAAAUACUGAUGGAAGGCCAUUCUCCUUCACAUUUGCCUACCGCACUUACUUUUCCAUAUCUGAUAUUAGUAAAAUUUUCAGUGAAGUGCGAAUCGAAGGACUGGAGACUCUUGAUUACCUUGACAAUCUAAAAAGCAGGGAACGUUUCACAGAACAAUGUGAUGCUAUUACUUUUGAAUCUGAAGUGGAUAGGAUAUAUCUGGAGACACCAACUAAGAUUGCGAUUCUGGACCACGAAAAAAAGCAGACAUUUGUUUUGCGAAAAGAUGGGCUUCCUGAUGCAGUGGUAUGGAAUCCUUGGGAAAAAAAGGCCAAAUCCAUGAUGGAUUUUGGAGAUGAUGAAUACAAGCAUAUGCUGUGUGUGGAGGCUGCAGCUAUUGAAAAGGCCAUCACUCUAAAGCCUGGUGAGGAAUGGAAAGCAAGGAUGUAUCUAUCUGUUGUUCCAUCCUGUUAUCGUAGUGGGCAACUAGCUCCUUUGAGGGUUCUUCAAGGAUGAAAAUCAUGUCAGAAUCAAAAGUCUUAACAAUUUGACAACAUCCAUUUCCAGCAGCGGCGGCGCCCAAUCCGAACCUUGGUCCUUCAGAUCUCUCGAAGCACUCAAGUCAAUUCAGAACAGUAGGUUCUGCAGGUCAGUGUUUCACCUUUUACACAGAUAUCCUCCCACUAGGGAAGAACUGUGUUGCGUCCUGCUAGAAUGUGUGACAAAGGAAACAAUUAGUGCUGAAGUAUUUGUAGAAUCUCUAAGACAAGCAGUUCAGCAGCUGAUAUAUGGUAUUAUUAAAAUUAUUCUUAAGCUAUAAUAUUUCAGUUGGUAGAAGCAUCAUCCGGUUUUAUGGCGAAGUACAUGAUCUUUUUUGAAAGAGAGAAGCAAGGUUUAAAAUUUCGGUGCCAAAGGUCUGACUAGGAGAGAUAGGAGGAAGCGGAAGUGGAAGAGGAAGAGGAGGAAAGAGGUGACGACACAUAUCGAUAGGAGUAAAAAAAAGAAAAAAGACAAAGUUGAGCUCAGUUGCUAUGUUGUAGAUUAUUCCGUGAAAUUCUCUCUUAUGCAUAGAUUGGCAAAAACUGAUACGGAGAUACAGUUGGAGCUAGGAGGUUAGUAGAUUGACCUGUGAAUUUAUCAUUCUUGUGAUCAUUUUUCUCACUGGUCUGACCUUUUGCACUUUGUCAGCUGUAUCUUACUGAUCUAAAUCACAUCAUCAUGGUUUGUUCUGGUUAAUAAGAGCUUAUAUGAUGACUUUGCAUCUU